CACCGUACUGAAACCUGAACUUCUAUCUUUCACAGUGUCAAUAUUCCAUACUUCACAAUCAUCCGGCACUAUAAUUAUAAAUCGUACUGAAUUAUGACAACAUGAUCAGUUAUUAAAGUGUCCGGUUCUGAGAAAGGAUAUUUGAAUAAAUAUUUCUCACAAAAGCUUCGAGACAGCUGUAGAGACGAUGGCGAAGGUUUUUGUAAGAUAUGGUCCAUUUAUGGUCAGAUGACAUAUAACUAUAUACACAGACAAGCAUCUGACCCCUCUUAUAAGAGAGUUGGAGUCUGCUGGGUUUGUGGUAGUUCCUGUGGAAAUAAAGAGGAAAAAUCAUGUUGAAAUUGCCAUUGGAAAGAAGGUGGUGUGGUCAUCCGAACUGACUUUGUUUCAAACAUAUAUUCCAAUGAAGCGAAGUGAUCCGGUUAUAAAAGAAGCUGUGGCAGCUUGUACAUCUGCAGUUGGAACUGUGAAGAUAUAAAUUGACAGAAAAAAUAACAACGCGGAUACAUAUGUCUUUCCCGAAAGAUAUUGCUUAGGACUAUACAGUAAAAGAUCAGCCAAGUUUUGUGACAAUGGUCCAACUCAUAUGCUGAGGACAAUGAGGACAAUUUUGUUAAACUAUAGCAAAGACUGAAGUUACUGUUUGAUAAAAAGGAGUAGGUGAAUCAAUGGCUCUGAAAAUAAGAAUUUUUAAAUUAAAACCAUAAAAACCCAUGCAUAUUGACCACGGGACGCAUGUAUAAUUAGUUUUCCAUUACACAUCUGUUUGUUUCAGAUAUUUAUCUCUCUACAUUUUACAAAAAAGAGAAAUUAUUUGAUUUUUCAUUUAUCUUCAUUAGUGUUGAUUUUUCAUGACGCAAUUGUUAGAAAUCUGGAAUAACAAAUGCUGAUGA
Ruditapes philippinarum (Manila clam) is the source of this 893-nucleotide long non-coding RNA. RefSeq lists it as uncharacterized. The record is from RefSeq and is a predicted model, not a curated record. The transcript has 4 exons. Lineage: Eukaryota; Metazoa; Mollusca; Bivalvia; Venerida; Veneridae.